UGGGUAAGACUGACAAUCGCGUAUAUCUUCGGGAUAUAUGAGGAAAGUCCGGGCUCCGCAGGGCAAGGAUGCCGGAUAACGUCCGGCGUAGGUAACUAUAGGGAAAGUGCAACAGAAACAUACCGCCGAAACGGAUAAUGCCGUGGUAAGGUUGAAAUUGUGAGGUAAGAGCUCACAGGAGAAUAUGGUAACAUAUUUUCCGUGUAAACCCCAUUCGGAGCAAGACCAAGCAGGACAUAAAAAGCGGCGGCCCGUCGCUGUCCGGGAGGUAGGUCGCAUGAGCCUGUCGGUAACGGCAGGCCAAGAUAGAUGAUUGUCUGAUACAGAACCCGGCUUAUGUCUUGCCCAAAUC
RNAcentral lists this RNase P RNA (352 nucleotides) under Lentihominibacter hominis. RNAcentral describes it as "Bacterial RNase P class A". It matches the Rfam family "Bacterial RNase P class A". From Rfam's summary of the family: Ribonuclease P (RNase P) is a ubiquitous endoribonuclease, found in archaea, bacteria and eukarya as well as chloroplasts and mitochondria. Its best characterised activity is the generation of mature 5'-ends of tRNAs by cleaving the 5'-leader elements of precursor-tRNAs. Cellular RNase Ps are ribonucleoproteins. RNAcentral also lists the same sequence under 1 other name. The record is from Rfam by way of RNAcentral. Lineage: Bacteria; Bacillati; Bacillota; Clostridia; Peptostreptococcales; Anaerovoracaceae.